GUAUUAACUGUGCAGUAACCAGUUUCCCAGGGGUGGUUUGCCUGUUCUUUGCAUUUUGGGAAGGCUGACCCCUGCAAGUUUUCCCAGAUGCAGGAAACUUAACUGCAGAAUUUUGUUGCAGUGAGGAACUGUUUUCUUGCAUUCCCCC
Molecule: small nuclear RNA, 148 nt
Filed under: Crocodylus porosus (Australian saltwater crocodile)
Lineage: Eukaryota; Metazoa; Chordata; Crocodylia; Crocodylidae
Description: U1 spliceosomal RNA (ENSCPRG00005008499.1)
Source: RNAcentral